CCUACGGGGGGCAGCAGUGAGGAAUUUUCGUCAAUGGGGGCAACCCUGAACGAGCAACGCCGCGUGCAGGAAGAAGGUUUUCGGAUCGUAAACUGCUUUUCUCUGGGACGCGGUACCAGAGGAAUCAGCCUCGGCUAACUACGUGCCAGCAGCCGCGGUAAUACGUAGGAGGCGAGCGUUGUCCGGAGUUACUGGGCGUAAAGCGCACGCAGGCGGUCAGAUCAGUCUGGAGUGACAGUCGUCGGCUUAACCGACGAAGUGUUCUGGAAACUGUCUGACUUGAGGGCUUCAGAGGGACACGGAAUUCCGGGUGGAGUGGUGAAAUGCGUAGAUAUCCGGAGGAACACCAAUGGCGAAGGCAGUGUCCUGGGAAGUCCUGACGCUCAGGUGCGAAAGCUAGGGGAGCGAACAGGAUUAGAUACCCUUGUAGUC
This 432-nucleotide ribosomal RNA is filed under the name uncultured bacterium. RNAcentral describes it as "partial 16S ribosomal RNA". It matches the Rfam family "Bacterial small subunit ribosomal RNA", at positions 338 to 795 of the family's 1533-position model. The record is from RNAcentral.